RNAcentral lists this transfer RNA (62 nucleotides) under Dipodomys ordii (Ord's kangaroo rat). It matches the Rfam family "tRNA". Rfam says of the family: Transfer RNA (tRNA) molecules are approximately 80 nucleotides in length. The record is from Rfam by way of RNAcentral. Lineage: Eukaryota; Metazoa; Chordata; Mammalia; Rodentia; Heteromyidae.
GAUGUAACUCAGUAGAGCACUUGCCUUGUAAGUAAGUGGUUUUGGGUUUAAUCCCUAGCAUC